Long non-coding RNA from Passer domesticus (house sparrow), 5658 nucleotides. RefSeq lists it as uncharacterized. The transcript has 9 exons. The record is from RefSeq and is a predicted model, not a curated record. Lineage: Eukaryota; Metazoa; Chordata; Aves; Passeriformes; Passeridae.
UUCAGCAGCAGUGAUGGGAAGGCAUCACUGGGACCAGCCUAUACUUGUGCUGUUUGCUCAGGCUGGGGGCAGACUUGACAGACUGAGACCUGCCUGUCACCGUUGGCUGGGCUGGCCAUCCCUGGACAAUGGCUUACACCAGUCCUUAUCCCUUUACCUCCUGUGCUGUUCUGAUUGGGUGCUGUGAGACAUGAGAAGUUGUGGAUGUCCCAUUCGUGGAAGUCUUCAAGGCCAGGGAAGUGUCCACAGAAGAAGUGAAAUGAGAAGAAUUUCAGAGAAUAAACAGAGAAGUGCAACAAGGACACAGAUUCACAGAAAGAGCAUUUUUUGCAAGGAGGUGUCCCAGGUAUUCCUGAGAGAACGACACAGCCUUGCCCAUGAAGAAGUGUGAGGCUGAGUGGAACUGGGAAAUAACAGUACUUUGACACAGCUUCUCUUGUCUCCUUGUGCACAUGCAGAAAUUAAGACUUUCCAGGUACUCAUUGGAGUGGUGUGAAGUGCCUCCAACCAAUGUGCAACAAACAUAAGUGAGAAGGAACCUUUGUUCUACUUUCAGCUAGAGAACAAGAAUCCCUCUGCUGGUCUCUUCUACUUUCAAGGCUGGAAUAUCUGUCUGACCUUCAGCUGUACUUGGGCUGCUGUUCUGGAAUUUUCCACACAAGAUUUUAACCUUGCUGUUGGAGAUGAGAAGUAAGCUUACUGUUUUAACAUCAGCAGUGAAAGAGUAGCAGAACUUCUCCAUGAAUGGAAGACACCAUUUCACUGUGUUUAAACAGAAAGAUGAAACAAUGGCUGAUAAUUUGUGACACUGACACUCCAUGAAUGGAAAUGAGGAGGGUAGUGAUAAAGUGGCUUCAGUGGGCAUCUGGUGGACAGCAAAAGUCAACCCACCACAGUGGGCUGAGCAAUACUUCCAAGGUGUGAAGCAGAACAGCUCAGAAGAGGGGCAGAACCUGAAACCAUGCUUAUGCAGCUCCAGUGGGCAGGAGGCUGCAUGCAGCGGGGGGAAAUGGUGCUGUUCUCCAGCAGAACAGCCAAAGUGCAGCUUCCAGACAGACGAUUACUUGCUUGCACACUGAAUACAUUAUACAGACAGAAACAGGCCAUCAGUUAUUUUCUGAACUACUCACAUUGGGUCGGCUAUAAAGACUGUGUGUGUCAUUGAUUUUAUGCUGCUCAAUAGGGUGGCUCCUGUGGAUGAAAGGACAGCUUCUAAAUGCUUCCUGAAUAUGAGUGGCUGACCUGAGUUUCUAAGAUAAAUGCUUAAUGGUACACUUUUGUUUUCACAGACAUUAAAUAAAGCUCAGAGCAGAUGAUAAAGAGCUUCAUCACCAUGUUUACUAAAGAAAUCAUUGCCAAUCUUCUUCUACCUCAGGAAGCUCAAGCAGGCAGAUGAUCAUCCUCCUCUUCACACUCCUCUCUGAACACCGCUUCACAGGAAUACAAGGGCUGUACAAGCCUUGCAGCUGCUGGAGGGAGAAUCCUCCCAAGACACAUGAAAGAAGUCCCUGCAGUGCAUGCUGCGAUGUGGAUUCUCAGUUGAUCUGAGCUGUAGUUCUCUGGAGUUUUCUCAUGAAUUAGAGCAGACUUGGGAGUAAUGCUUUGUGCCAGGGGCUGUACCAGUUUCCAAGGCUGAUGUGAAUCAUAGGAGUGGGAGGGUGGCUGACAGCUACCUUAGGGCUCUGCUGGUGGGCCAUGACUUUUUGCAAUAUUACAGCUAUGGGCACCAAGAGACCUAUGCCAAUGGAUUAUAUCCAGCUGUGAAAAACUAUGAAUGGUAGAAUUUUGAAAACAGGAAUGGUUUGUCUUACACCAUCACAGUUCUUCUCCCCUCUCCUGUCAUCUGUUUUCACUUCUUGUGGGUAUACUAAAUGCCCUAGAAACAUUAUGUGAGGACACAUGAGCUGUUUGAAGGUCUAAAGUCUGCUGGAAUACUGUGGGGGAACUGUGGAAAUGGAGGAAGACAGAUUUUGUACAUUCUUGUCCACAGUGCUUUUUGGGAGCUGAUUGAAGAGGCCUGUUCCUUGGCAGUCCUGGGACACAAUCUUGGAGAAAUCUGGUUAGAAGUCCAGAAGAGGGCCAUGACUAAGUCUUCACUGAUCCUUUCAUUUGUGAAUACUCCAGGACAAGACACAACUGACCACAAGUUAGAGGCAGAUGUCAAGAUUUCAGAGUGUCUCUGGUCGUGAGCAAACUACAAACAGUUCUAUGAUGCUAAUUUCACAAGCAUCAAGCUGUAACAAUCAAACUUCUGAGCAGCAGUUUUGGAGUUUGAAGCAUAUUUGUUGAACACAAUGGGCCUUUUAUGAUCUGUGUUCUUAACUGGUGACAUUGACAACAUGCCUGCCAUCUUCAGCCACACACCUCAUGAACAACUCCAGGCACAAGUGGAUGCUAGAGGCCACCCAGCUGGAAAGAAUCUUGGCAAGAGAGGAGCAGGGACCCUGGUGGACACCAAGCUGAAUGGGAGCCAGCAGGGAAUUCUCAAUGCAAAGGUGGCUGGUGGCAUCCUGGGCUGUACUGGGCAAAGUCCUGGCACCAUGGCAAGGGGGAUGACAAGUCUUUCCCCUCUGCUCAGCACCAGUGUGGCCUCACCUGCAGUGCUGUGUUCAGUGCUGGGCUCCUCAGAGCAAGAGAGAUGUAAACAGACUGUAGGGAGUCCAGCCAAGGACCACAAGAAUGAAGGGAGUGGAGCAUCUCUUCCAUGAGAAGAGACUGAAAGAGCUGGGACCGUUCAGCUGGGAGAAGAGAAGGCUCAGACAGAUCCCAUCAGUGUCUACAAAUAACUGAAGGGAAGUUGCAAAGAGGAUGGAGACAGGCUCUUUUAAGUGGCAUUCAACACCAGGACCAGAGGCAAUGGGCACAAACUGAAACACAGGACAUUUUCUCUGAAUAUCAGGAAACACUUUUCUGAUGUGAGGACCACCAGGCACUGGCACAGGCUCUCCAGAGACACUGUGGAGUCUCCCUUUGUGAAAAUAUUUAAAAGCUGUCUGGAUAGAUACAUGUGGCCAUGCUUUGCCAGGGUGGUGGGACCAGAUAAUUUGCAAAGAUUCCUUCCAAUUUCAGCCAUUCUGUGAUUCUAGGAAAUACAAUGGAGAUCAACAUCUGGACCUCCUUCCAAAAUUUUUUCGUGGCAAAGAAAGGCGAGCAUUGCAUGAAACUUCAAAUCAAGAUAUUACAAAACAGUUGCCCAUUCUAUAUACAUCAAACCAAGUCCUUCUAAAUGCUUAGGAGUCUCCUUCUAUCAACCACAAUUUUUUUAAGCAGCAUUAUGACACUGAGUUUUUAACCAGAGUUUAAGAUGUUCAGUGCUCAAUUUUUGUACCAAGAGAAAGAAGGAAAAUAAGAACUCUUGGAAAUGGGCUGUUACAGACCAGUAUACGGCUCAUAAGGAACUGCUGUGAAAGGAAGCUCACGCUUGCAACCAAAGAAAUCAAAAGAGAUAAAGAUAUAUACAUGUUUUCAGAUUGCAUAAUCAUUGAGCCAUAGAAUGGUUUGGGUUGGAAGGGACCUCAAAGUUCCAGCCUGGCAUGAUGCUGAGUCAAGGCAGGUUUAGGAUGGGUAUUAGGAAAAGGUUCUUCACCCAGAUGGUGGUUGGGCACUGAAACAGGUUCUGCAGGGAAGUGGUCACAGCAUCAGCUAGACAGAAUUCAAGAAGCAUCUGGAUAAUGCUCUCAGGCACAUGGUGUGACUCUUUGAAUUUCCUGUACAGAGCCAGGAGCUGGACUUGAUGAUCCUGAUGGGUCCUUUCCAUCACAGAAUAUUCUAUGAUGCUGUGAAUCCUCCUGCCACGUGCAGGAAGUAAUUCAUUGGACCAGAUUGCUCAAAAACCCCAUCCCAACUCUCCCAGAACAUUUCCAAGGAUGGGGCAUCCACAGUUUCUCUGGGCAGUCUGUUCCAGUGCCUUAUCACCCUGCCAGUAAAGAAUUUUUUCUGUAUAUCUAGCCUGAACAUUCCUCUUUCAGUUUGAUCCCAAGAUGUUCAGUGUUAAUUAACAGGAGUUACUGCUUUUUGACACACAGAUGAGCAAUUUGCUAUUCAGGAUCUCAUCAAAAGUAGAUGCCAUAUUCAAGGUGAUUUCAAAAUGUGCUCUUAGAUAUAAAGCAGUGAUAUAAAUCUUAGAGGAAUGUCAAUCAUUUGCCAAUCAGAUAGAAUUAUAGUCUACAGACACAUGGAUGGCAACAUAAUUGAGGCCUACCAAUGGCUCAUUAAAACAUCAUGCAAAGUAAUCACCUUGCAAAGUAGUACCUGAGUAAAAGUAAAAAUACAAAUUAUUACAAAAAGCAGGAGUGAAAACCCCUCAGAUGUAGGCAGAAGGGUUUUAGUGGCUUUGUAUAGCUGCAGUUCUGGCAUCCUCAACUGCAGCUGAACAUGUGAGAUCCAGAACUCAUAGAAGAAGGGAACAGAAAUUAAGGAAAGAUGGAAUGGCAUCUCUGUGGAGGGAGAUUUAAAUAAAUUAGGACUCUUCAGCCUGGAAAAGAUACAGGAGAGUAUGGCAGUGAUCUGUCAAGAAUGACUUAGAAAAGGUAAAUGCAAUAAUUAUUUUUAUGUUGCAAGACUAGAGAUUAUCAUGCAGCAGGUUCAAAAGGCACAUUUUUUUUGUACAAUGCAUAAGCAAAUUAUGGGACUCACUGCCAAAGGAGGGUCUGGAAACCAAAUAUAUAGCAUCACAAAAAGAAGAUUUCAUGAAGAAAUGGAAGUCCCUCAGGAGUUGAGCAGCCCCAAAGCUAAAGCCAGCCAGCAUCUGUGUAGAUGGAUUGUAUACUGAAACAAUAUUUCUGUGUAUUUAAUUCCUUCUUUAUUUUUUUCCCUAAAAAAAGUGUGGAAAUGUAGCCAGAGUAUAACUUGUGUUCAGACAGACCUAGCAGAGCAUCUCUUCUAACAAGGGGGAUUUAAGCAGACCAAAAAAAAUUUACUGAAAGUGACCCUUAAAGAUUUCAAGGUUAGCUUUUAAUUAAAAAAAAAAAAAACAAAAACGGAAGAAGCUGGGUAUUGUACUCCAUCUGGCCUUGUUCUGAACCAAUAGAAACAGUAUGAGUUAAAUUCAUUAUUUCUAAGAGAUGCUGUAUAUGCUAUACAGAAAAUGAAGCCUGUGGUAAACAAAUGUUUGGUGUCUGCAAUAUUCUCAUCAUGAAGUAAUUUUGCUUUGAUGGAUGGAUAUCUAGAAUUUAACCAGCUGCAGGCAUUAAAGCAAAUCCUUUUAUUCUAACCAAAGAGAAACAAAAUGCAGAUCACAAAAUCACUAAUUUCUACCAUAUUACAGUAUCUCCCAUGUGUUUUGGAUAUCCAUUGGUCACCACUGGUUACUCACAUGCUAGAUAUAACUUUUGGAGCCUAUUAGAAAAACCUCUCUAAGCACAUAACAAACCUGCUCUCAGAAGAAAGAAUUUUUAUGCAAGUAGCAGCAAGUAGUAGAAAACAAAGUUUUCCAUUGGGUAGGAUGUGAAAUAAAGACGUAUCAUGUCCUUAACAUCUCUUCAAUGUCUACACAGGAUUUAGUGAGUCAAGUCCUGAGAUGCAAUGACAAGGUAGAAGGAAUGAACACUCAACUCAAUACACCUUUUAAAGAUCUGUUAAUUAUAGAUUUUCUUGAACAAAGUUUGGCAUUGUUAGAAACAAAGAAGAAUAUUGCACAAAUGCUUGACACAAAUAUUG